GGGUUGUGAGGUUAAGCGACUAAGCGUACACGGUGGAUGCCCUGGCAGUCAGAGGCGAUGAAGGACGUGCUAAUCUGCGAAAAGCGUCGGUAAGGUGAUAUGAACCGUUAUAGCCGGCGAUGUCCGAAUGGGGAAACCCAGUGUGAUUCGUCACACUAUCGUUAACUGAAUACAUAGGUUAACGAGGCGAACCGGGGGAACUGAAACAUCUAAGUACCCCGAGGAAAAGAAAUCAACCGAGAUUCCCCCAGUAGCGGCGA
This 260-nucleotide ribosomal RNA is filed under the name Klebsiella pneumoniae. RNAcentral describes it as "partial 23S ribosomal RNA". It matches the Rfam family "Bacterial large subunit ribosomal RNA", at positions 1 to 252 of the family's 2925-position model. The record is from RNAcentral. Lineage: Bacteria; Pseudomonadati; Pseudomonadota; Gammaproteobacteria; Enterobacterales; Enterobacteriaceae.